Long non-coding RNA from Raphanus sativus (radish), 3204 nucleotides. RefSeq lists it as uncharacterized. The record is from RefSeq and is a predicted model, not a curated record. Lineage: Eukaryota; Viridiplantae; Streptophyta; Magnoliopsida; Brassicales; Brassicaceae. The transcript has 3 exons.
UAUGAUUAACAAUAUUUUAAAUUUUGGCUACUAAAAAAAAAUUGUGUAACCGUUUUAGAAUAUCCAUAUCCCAAAUCACAUUUAUAACAAACUAAAAGAGCAUAUUUGCAUAUACCAAAAAAGUAAAUAAUAUCUUAGCAGAUAUAUUUCUCUUUUUUUCAGUUUCAAAAUUAUCAUUUCAAUUUUUCAUAACGAAUCCAAAGAGAAUAUACUCCUAAUUAUACCAAAACUCGGUUCGCAAGGCAUAUCUUUAUAAAUAUCUUUAAACGAAAAUCUUUAAUAUCCAUGUAUCCUCUUUAAACCUAUUUAUUUUGCUAUAUAUACUAUCUAAGCGACACAUUCAAUCUAAACUAAAGCACACAACUUAAGCAAACAAAAUAAAUGCUACACCAAAGUUAUCAUAUACAUGUCCGAUAUCAAGCUUUACAAAACUGAAUGGUGGAUCGCAGUGAAAGUUGUUCACACCAGAUAACAAUUCAGUGAACAAUUUGGUGAGACAUUGGAACUCAUUUUCUCUGACAAGAAGGAUCAAAAAAUCAUGCAUCAUGCAAAAAACUACUUGCUUAGUUUGGGCAGGGACUUCCAUGUGGGUGAUUGGAAAAACAGAGAAUUAUUUCCACUAAGUGCAGCAGCUGGUGGAUACUAACCUACCACUCACGUUAUAAAAUGGGGUUUAUGAAGUUCACCUCCAUUACUCCAUAUAAAUUCAGUAAUAUGGUAUGUUUAUGGAUUUACUGCAGCUUUAAACUAUAUUGAAUGGAAUUCUAAACAAUUUUUUUCUGAUUGGUAAGUUCUUAAAGACGUGUUUGUAUUACAUUUUUGUGAUUAUUCAUUAAUAUGUGUUUCUGUUGUAUAUAGAUGUUGUGGAACAAGCCAUAGAUAUUGUAGAAAAAAGCCAUUAAACGUAAGUAACCACCUUCUUUUAAAAAAAACGAAACCACCUUCUACAGCCGCUUAUAAACUCCUAUUUUAUAGGCUAUGUAUAAGGCAACAAAUAAAAAAUAUCGAACUCAUAUUUGGUACAUAAAUAUACGGAAUUUAAAUUUAUGAUCUACAAAGUAUAUUUUUGGAAGUAAAUUUAAGAUUACUAAAACUAUUUAAGUUAAUAUUAUUAUGGAAUUAUUAUUUAUAAAAAUAUAUACUUAUGAAGAGACCAGUUAUAGUCAAUAUGUGACCUCACAACCCAUCCAUACAUAGUGUUAUUUGCUUAAUUGUUACUCUAAUGGUGAAAUGAUAAGAAUUUAUUUAACGGAUUUUAAAUAGGUUAUUAAAAAAAAAAUAUUUACUAAAUGUGAUUUUACUUGAAGUUAGUGAAGAACAUAUCAACCCAUUUGUAAAUAUAUAUAACAAAAUAUAUUAAAAUUAUUUUUUUAAGACAUUUUUCAAAAAAAAAACGGUUUUCGGUGCGGGUUAGAUUUAAUAUUGGUUUUUGGAUAUAACACUUUUAAGAACCGUUCGAGUAUAUAUGUCAAGUCUAACAGAGCACGAGACUUUGAUUUUCGAGUCGAUUCCGAAUCGGAUUCUUUGGGUACGAAACAUUCUUAACUAAUUAUGUUAGGAAACUACUAAAAAAAUAUAAUAUGUUGCAAACUUUAAAAAUAAAUUAUUAAAAUAAUCUCUUAUAUGCAUAUGACACCAAUAUAUAGUUAUACAACUUGACAUAUUUAAUAUAUUUACCAAAAAUUUACUAAAUUAAAUUAAUAUUAAACACAAAUAUGAUUAAGAAAAUAACACAAAUAUAAAAAUUAAAUUUCUCAAAAAAAUUAAAACAAAAAAUAUACCCUAAAGAUGACCACCCAAAGAUGUUUUUUCUCAUCAAGAAUAUAUAUGUUACUGAGAGGAAUAACAAAACCCUAGCUUCUCACAUCAUUAUCUCUCUCUCUCUCUCUCUCUCUUUCGCAUCAUUUCGUACCCUCAUCUCUCUAUCAAAUACAGUGACAUUUUAUAAUCCAACCCGUAACUCUAAAGUUUUAUUACGGUUCCGAGGUAAUUCUAUUUAAAAAAUUCAAUAAAUUCAUAAGAAAUUGAAAACCGUUGAUGAACAUUAAUAGUAAUCAAAGAUGAUAAUUGUGUACUACAGUUCAUAGCAUAUUUAUUCUAAAUAUAUAUAUAUAUAUAUUACUGAUUUUAAAAUGAAAAUUGCUGAUUUUUCUCCCUAACAAUAUUAACCAAAUAUGAUUAACAAUAUUUUAAAUUUUGGCUACUAAAAAAAAAUUGUGUAACCGUUUUAGAAUAUCCAUAUCCCAAAUCACAUUUAUAACAAACUAAAAGAGCAUAUUUGCAUAUACCAAAAAAGUAAAUAAUAUCUUAGCAGAUAUAUUUCUCUUUUUUUCAGUUUCAAAAUUAUCAUUUCAAUUUUUCAUAACGAAUCCAAAGAGAAUAUACUCCUAAUUAUACCAAAACUCGGUUCGCAAGGCAUAUCUUUAUAAAUAUCUUUAAACGAAAAUCUUUAAUAUCCAUGUAUCCUCUUUAAACCUAUUUAUUUUGCUAUAUAUACUAUCUAAGCGACACAUUCAAUCUAAACUAAAGCACACAACUUAAGCAAACAAAAUAAAUGCUACACCAAAGUUAUCAUAUACAUGUCCGAUAUCAAGCUUUACAAAACUGAAUGGUGGAUCGCAGUGAAAGUUGUUCACACCAGAUAACAAUUCAGUGAACAAUUUGGUGAGACAUUGGAACUCAUUUUCUCUGACAAGAAGGAUCAAAAAAUCAUGCAUCAUGCAAAAAACUACUUGCUUAGUUUGGGCAGGGACUUCCAUGUGGGUGAUUGGAAAAACAGAGAAUUAUUUCCACUAAGUGCAGCAGCUGGUGGAUACUAACCUACCACUCACGUUAUAAAAUGGGGUUUAUGAAGUUCACCUCCAUUACUCCAUAUAAAUUCAGUAAUAUGGUAUGUUUAUGGAUUUACUGCAGCUUUAAACUAUAUUGAAUGGAAUUCUAAACAAUUUUUUUCUGAUUGGUAAGUUCUUAAAGACGUGUUUGUAUUACAUUUUUGUGAUUAUUCAUUAAUAUGUGUUUCUGUUGUAUAUAGAUGUUGUGGAACAAGCCAUAGAUAUUGUAGAAAAAAGCCAUUAAACGUAAGUAACCACCUUCUUUUAAAAAAAACGAAACCACCUUCUACAGCCGCUUAUAAACUCCUAUUUUAUAGGCUAUGUAUAAGGCAACAAAUAAAAAAUAUCGAACUCAUAUUUGGUACAUAAAUAU